RNAcentral lists this ribosomal RNA (1484 nucleotides) under Shigella sonnei. RNAcentral describes it as "partial 23S ribosomal RNA". It matches the Rfam family "Bacterial large subunit ribosomal RNA", at positions 1452 to 2915 of the family's 2925-position model. Lineage: Bacteria; Pseudomonadati; Pseudomonadota; Gammaproteobacteria; Enterobacterales; Enterobacteriaceae. The record is from RNAcentral.
UACUGCGAAGGGGGGACGGAGAAGGCUAUGUUGGCCGGGCGACGGUUGUCCCGGUUUAAGCGUGUAGGCUGGUUUUCCAGGCAAAUCCGGAAAAUCAAGGCUGAGGCGUGAUGACGAGGCACUACGGUGCUGAAGCAACAAAUGCCCUGCUUCCAGGAAAAGCCUCUAAGCAUCAGGUAACAUCAAAUCGUACCCCAAACCGACACAGGUGGUCAGGUAGAGAAUACCAAGGCGCUUGAGAGAACUCGGGUGAAGGAACUAGGCAAAAUGGUGCCGUAACUUCGGGAGAAGGCACGCUGAUAUGUAGGUGAAGUCCCUUGCGGAUGGAGCUGAAAUCAGUCGAAGAUACCAGCUGGCUGCAACUGUUUAUUAAAAACACAGCACUGUGCAAACACGAAAGUGGACGUAUACGGUGUGACGCCUGCCCGGUGCCGGAAGGUUAAUUGAUGGGGUCAGCGCAAGCGAAGCUCUUGAUCGAAGCCCCGGUAAACGGCGGCCGUAACUAUAACGGUCCUAAGGUAGCGAAAUUCCUUGUCGGGUAAGUUCCGACCUGCACGAAUGGCGUAAUGAUGGCCAGGCUGUCUCCACCCGAGACUCAGUGAAAUUGAACUCGCUGUGAAGAUGCAGUGUACCCGCGGCAAGACGGAAAGACCCCGUGAACCUUUACUAUAGCUUGACACUGAACAUUGAGCCUUGAUGUGUAGGAUAGGUGGGAGGCUUUGAAGUGUGGACGCCAGUCUGCAUGGAGCCGGCCUUGAAAUACCACCCUUUAAUGUUUGAUGUUCUAACGUGGACCCGUGAUCCGGGUUGCGGACAGUGUCUGGUGGGUAGUUUGACUGGGGCGGUCUCCUCCUAAAGAGUAACGGAGGAGCACGAAGGUUGGCUAAUCCUGGUCGGACAUCAGGAGGUUAGUGCAAUGGCAUAAGCCAGCUUGACUGCGAGCGUGACGGCGCGAGCAGGUGCGAAAGCAGGUCAUAGUGAUCCGGUGGUUCUGAAUGGAAGGGCCAUCGCUCAACGGAUAAAAGGUACUCCGGGGAUAACAGGCUGAUACCGCCCAAGAGUUCAUAUCGACGGCGGUGUUUGGCACCUCGAUGUCGGCUCAUCACAUCCUGGGGCUGAAGUAGGUCCCAAGGGUAUGGCUGUUCGCCAUUUAAAGUGGUACGCGAGCUGGGUUUAGAACGUCGUGAGACAGUUCGGUCCCUAUCUGCCGUGGGCGCUGGAGAACUGAGGGGGGCUGCUCCUAGUACGAGAGGACCGGAGUGGACGCAUCACUGGUGUUCGGGUUGUCAUGCCAAUGGCACUGCCCGGUAGCUAAAUGCGGAAGAGAUAAGUGCUGAAAGCAUCUAAGCACGAAACUUGCCCCGAGAUGAGUUCUCCCUGACCCUUUAAGGGUCCUGAAGGAACGUUGAAGACGACGACGUUGAUAGGCCGGGUGUGUAAGCGCAGCGAUGCGUUGAGCUAACCGGUACUAAUGAACCGUGAGG